RNAcentral lists this ribosomal RNA (253 nucleotides) under uncultured bacterium. RNAcentral describes it as "partial 16S ribosomal RNA". It matches the Rfam family "Bacterial small subunit ribosomal RNA", at positions 524 to 776 of the family's 1533-position model. The record is from RNAcentral.
UACGUAGGGUGCGAGCGUUAAUCAGAAUUACUGGGCGUAAAGCGUGCGCAGGCGGCUUUGCAAGACAGAUGUGAAAUCCCCGGGCUCAACCUGGGAACUGCAUUGGUGACUGCAAGGCUAGAGUACGGCAGAGGGGGAUGGAAUUCCGCGUGUAGCAGUGAAAUGCGUAGAUAUGCGGAGGAACACCAAUGGCGAAGGCAAUCCCCUGGGCCUGUACUGACGCUCAUGCACGAAAGCGUGGGGAGCAAACAGG